This 277-nucleotide ribosomal RNA is filed under the name uncultured bacterium. RNAcentral describes it as "partial 16S ribosomal RNA". It matches the Rfam family "Bacterial small subunit ribosomal RNA", at positions 29 to 313 of the family's 1533-position model. The record is from RNAcentral.
AGCGAACGCUGGCGGCAUGCUUAACACAUGCAAGUCGCACGGUUCGGGGGCAACUCCGGGCAGUGGCGGACGGGUGAGUAACGCGUAGGAAUCUAUCCUUGGAUGGGGGACAACCGUGGGAAACUACGGCUAAUACCGCAUGAUGCCUGAGGGCCAAAGGUUUGAUCGCAAGAUUAGACCGUCUGGGGAGGAGCCUGCGUCUGAUUAGGUAGUUGGUGGGGUAAAGGCCUACCAAGCCUACGAUCAGUAGCUGGUCUGAGAGGAUGAUCAGCCACAU